RNAcentral lists this ribosomal RNA (575 nucleotides) under uncultured eukaryote. RNAcentral's name for it is "SSU rRNA". It matches the Rfam family "Eukaryotic small subunit ribosomal RNA", at positions 648 to 1222 of the family's 1831-position model. The record is from RNAcentral.
GGGGUAGCCGGUCCGCCUUGCAAAAGGUGCGCACUGAGCGGCCUCGGCCAUCCUUGGGAAGAGCGGUCCUGGCAUUUAGUUGUCGGGGUCGGGAUUCCCGACGUUUACUGUGAAAAAAUCAGAGUGUUCAACGCAGGCUUACGCCUUGAAUACAUUAGCAUGGAAUAAUGAGAUAGGACCUUGGCGGUCUAUUUUGUUGGUUUGCACGCCGAGGUAAUGAUUAAAAGGGACGGUUGGGGUUCUUCGUAUUCAAUUGUCAGAGGUGAAAUUCUUGGAUUUAUGGAAGACGAACUGCUGCGAAAGCGUCGAACAAGGACGUUCUCAUUAAUCAAGAACGAAAGUUAGGGGAUCGAAGAUGAUUAGAUACCAUCGUAGUCUUAACCAUAAACUAUGCCGAUUCAGGAUUGGCGGUCGUUUGUUCUCGACUCCGUCAGCACUGUAUGAGAAAUCAAAAUCUUUGGGUUCCGGGGGGAGUAUGGUCGCAAGGCUGAAACUUAAAGAAAUUGACGGAAGGGCACCACCCAGGAGUGGAGCCUGCGGCUUAAUUUGACUUCAACACGGGGAAACUUACCAGG